Molecule: ribosomal RNA, 440 nt
Filed under: uncultured bacterium
Lineage: Bacteria
Description: partial 16S ribosomal RNA
Rfam family: Bacterial small subunit ribosomal RNA
Source: RNAcentral
CCUACGGGUGACAGCAGUGGGGAAUAUUGCUCAAUGGGGGAAACCCUGAAGCAGCAACGCCGCGUGGAGGAUGAAAGUUUUAGGAUUGUAAACUCCUUUUGUUAGGGAAGAUUAUGACGGUAUCUAACGAAUAAGCACCGGCUAACUCCGUUCCAGCAGCCGCGGUAAUACGGGGGGUGCAAGCCUUACUCGGAAUCACUGGGCGUAAAGAGUGCGUAGGCGGGGUAAUAAGUCAGAUGUGAAAUCCUGUAGCUUAAAUACAGAACUGCAUUUGAAACUGUUACUCUGGAGUGUGGGAGGGGUAGGUGGAAUUCUUGGUGUAGGGGUAAAAUCCGUAGAGAUCAAGAGGAAUACUGAUUGCGAAGGCGAUCUGCUGGAACAUGACUGACGCUGAGGCACGAAAGCGUGGGGAGCAAACAGGAUUAGAUACCCUAGUAGUC